This 1016-nucleotide ribosomal RNA is filed under the name Sarcocystis gracilis. Its description in RNAcentral is "SSU rRNA". It matches the Rfam family "Eukaryotic small subunit ribosomal RNA", at positions 49 to 959 of the family's 1831-position model. Lineage: Eukaryota; Apicomplexa; Conoidasida; Eucoccidiorida; Sarcocystidae. The record is from RNAcentral.
CCAUGCAUGUCUAAGUAUAAGCUUUUUAUACGGCGAAACUGCGAAUGGCUCAUUAAAACAGUUAUAGUUUAUUUGAUAGUCUUUCAUUGGAAGCAAUUCUAAUACUACUACAUGGAUAACCGUGGUAAUUCUAUGGCUAAUACAUGCGUAAAUAUCCUUUUUCGCAAGGAAAAGGAUAGUGUUUAUUAGAUACAGAACCAAUACGCCAGUUUCGUAAGAACUGGUGUCAUAGAAAGGUGAUUCAUAGUAACCGAACGGAUCGCAUUAUGGUCAUUAUUUUUAUAAUGGCUGGCGAUAGAUCAUUCAAGUUUCUGACCUAUCAGCUUUCGACGGUAGUGUAUUGGACUACCGUGGCAGUGACGGGUAACGGGGAAUUAGGGUUCGAUUCCGGAGAGGGAGCCUGAGAAACGGCUACCACAUCUAAGGAAGGCAGCAGGCGCGCAAAUUACCCAAUCCUGACUCAGGGAGGUAGUGACAAGAAAUAACAACACUGGAAAUUUUAUUUCUAGUGAUUGGAAUGAUGGGAAUUUAAACCCCUUUCAGAGUAACAAUUGGAGGGCAAGUCUGGUGCCAGCAGCCGCGGUAAUUCCAGCUCCAAUAGCGUAUAUUAAAGUUGUUGCAGUUAAAAAGCUCGUAGUUGGAUGUCUGCUGGAAGCAAUCAGUCCGCCCUAUUUGUGGGGUGUGCACUUGAUGAAUUCUGGCAUUUUUGUCCCAAUAUUAUGAUGUAGAAUGUGGGACACAGAGUGUUAUUGGGCGAAAGUUCAAUAGCAUGUCUGUGUUCCGAUUCUUAUUAUAUUGGGAUACUGUUACUUUGAGAAAAUUAGAGUGUUUGAAGCAGGCUUUGAAUUGCCUUGAAUACUGCAGCAUGGAAUAACAAUAUAGGAUUUCGGUUCUAUUUUGUUGGUUUCUAGGACUGAAAUAAUGAUUAAUAGGGACAGUUGGGGGCAUUCGUAUUUAACUGUCAGAGGUGAAAUUCUUAGAUUUGUUAAAGACGAACUACUGCGAAAGCAUUUGCC